UGAACUGAAGCAGAGCUAUGCGGCGGACGGGUGAGUAACACGUAGGCACCUGCCUCUCAGACUGGGAUAACAUAGGGAAACUUAUGCUAAUACCGGAUAGGUUUUUGGAUCGCAUGAUCUGAAAAGAAAAGAUGGCUUUUCGCUAUCACUGGGAGAUGGGCCUGCGGCGAAUAGCUAGUUGGUGGGGUAACGGCCUACCAAGGCGACGAUGCGUAGCCGACCUGAGAGGGUGACCGGCCACCACUGGGACUGAGACACGGCCCAGACUCCUACGGGAGGAGCAGUAGGGGAUUUUUCCCCAAUGGAACGAAAGCUUGAUGGGGCACCGCCGCGUGACCAUUGAAGGUCUUUCGGAUGGUAAGUUCUUGUUGUCGGGGCCGAACACGUACCGGUCGGAAUAGGGCGGUCCUUUGACGUUCCCUGACGGGAAAGCCCCGCUUAAUUACGUCCAGCAGGCGCGGUAAUACGGUGGUGGGCAGGGGUUGUCCGGUUUUAUUGGGCGUAAGCGGCCCCAGGCGGUUAUGUAGUCUGGUGUUAAAGCCCGGGGCUCACCCCGGUUCGCUUCGGAACUUGUUAGCUUGAUGCAGAAGAGGAAAGCGGUAUCCCCGGUGUGGCGGUGAAAUGCUGAGAUGUGGGGAACACCAGUGGCGAUUCGA
RNAcentral lists this ribosomal RNA (656 nucleotides) under Brevibacillus agri. RNAcentral's name for it is "bacterial SSU rRNA". It matches the Rfam family "Bacterial small subunit ribosomal RNA", at positions 74 to 721 of the family's 1533-position model. The record is from RNAcentral. Lineage: Bacteria; Bacillati; Bacillota; Bacilli; Caryophanales; Paenibacillaceae.